GUAAAGCACUUUCAGUAGGGAGGAAGGUAGUGUAGUUAACACCUGCAUUAUUUGACGUUACCUACAGAAGAAGCACCGGCUAACUCCGUGCCAGCAGCCGCGGUAAUACGGAGGGUGCGAGCGUUAAUCGGAAUUACUGGGCGUAAAGCGCAUGCAGGCGGCCUGUUAAGUCAGAUGUGAAAGACCCGGGGCGUUAACCUCGGAAUUGCAUUUGAAACUAGGCAGGCUAGAGUCUUGUAGAGGGGGGUAGGAAUUUCUAGGUGUAGCGGUGAAAUAGCGUAGAGAUCUGAAGGAAUACCAGUGGCGAAGGCGGCCCCCUCGGACAAAGACUGACGCUCAGAUGCGAAAGCGUCGGGGAGCAAACAGGAUUAGACUACCCUGGUAG
Molecule: ribosomal RNA, 385 nt
Filed under: uncultured bacterium
Lineage: Bacteria
Description: bacterial SSU rRNA
Rfam family: Bacterial small subunit ribosomal RNA
Source: RNAcentral